This 211-nucleotide long non-coding RNA is filed under the name Mytilus galloprovincialis (Mediterranean mussel). Lineage: Eukaryota; Metazoa; Mollusca; Bivalvia; Mytilida; Mytilidae. The record is from RNAcentral.
CAUAAAUAGUGACCAAAAAGGUACCGCUAUCACAUGAGAGAAGCUAGGAAAAAGUAAAAUGUAUAUAUUUUAAAUAUUUUUGUGGGAGCAUGAAAUGUAGUACACAUAUAGAUAGAUAUUCAUAGACCAUAGAACAAAUAAGCAAACAAAUUCAAAGGAAAUGUAAAUGUAAGAUGAAUAAUGAAAAAAGAAGAGCCAUGGCCAGGGGCCC